This 1353-nucleotide ribosomal RNA is filed under the name metagenome. RNAcentral describes it as "bacterial LSU rRNA". It matches the Rfam family "Bacterial large subunit ribosomal RNA", at positions 1536 to 2925 of the family's 2925-position model. The record is from RNAcentral.
UUACAAACCCAGGUGAAGGGAGAUCCGGAAAGGCAAAUCCGCCGGAUCGUCUGCCAGGAGAAUCCUCUAAGGAGAGUUAGGUGACUGUACCACAAACGGACACACGUGGACGAGAUGAGUAUUCUCAGGCGCUCGGGUGAUGAGUUGUUAAGGAACUAGGCAAAUUAACCCCGUAACUUCGGGAGAAGGGGUGCCCAUGCAAAUGGGCCGCAGUGAAUAGCGUCAGGCGACUGUUUAACAAAAACACAGGUCCCUGCUAAGUCGAAAACGAUGUAUAGGGGCUGACGCCUGCCCGGUGCCGGAAGGUUAAAGGGAGUGGUUAGCGCAAGCGAAGCUACGAACUGAAGCCCCGGUGAACGGCGGCCGUAACUAUAACGGUCCUAAGGUAACAAAAUUCCUUGUCGGGUAAGUUCCGACCUGCACGAAUGGCGUAACGAUCUGACGACUGUCUCAACAACUCGCCCGGCGAAUUUGUGGUUCCGGUGAAGACGCCGGAUGCCCGCCACAAGACGGAAAGACCCCGUGCACCUUUACUAUACCCUAUCAGUGAAUUAUGGGUUGGACUGCGCAGGAUAGGUGGAGGCUUUGAGAUCGGGUUUUUGGACUCGAUGGAGCCAACGGUGAAAUACCACCCUGUGUAAUCUGUGAUUCUAACCUGCUUCCAUGAUCUGGAAGAGGGACACUGGUAGGCGGGUAGUUUGACUGGGGCGGUCGCCUCCUAAAUUGUAACGGAGGCGCUCGAAGCUGCGUUCAGGUGGUUUGGAAAUCCACCGACGAGUGCAAAGGCAUAAACGCGGUUAACUGCGAGACCUACAAGUCAAGCAGGUGGGAAACCAGGACUUAGUGAUCCGGUGGUUCUGUAUGGAAGGGCCAUCGCUCAACGGAUAAAAGGUACGCCGGGGAUAACAGGCUGAUCGGAGUCAAGAGUUCACAUCGACGCUCCGGUUUGGCACCUCGAUGUCGGUUCAUCGCAUCCCGGGGGUGUAGAAGCUCCCAAGGGUUAGGCUGUUCGCCUAUUAAAGCGGUACGUGAACUGGGUUCAGAACGUCGCGAGUCAGUUCGGUCCCUAUCUGUGGUGGGCGCAGGAAAUUUGAGGGGGCUUGGCCUAGUACGAGAGGACCGGGCUGAACGAACCUCUUGUGAUACAGUUGUCACUCCAGUGGCACAGCUGUGUAGCGAAGUUCGGUUAGGAUAAGCGCUGAAUGCAUAUAAGUGCGAAACCUUCCCCAAGAUGAGAUUUCCCAACCGUAAGGUAAUAAGGGCCGUGGAAGACUACCACGUUGAUAGGACGGGUGUGUAAGAGUAGUAAUACUUUGAGCUAACCGUUACUAAUAGCCCGUUCGGCUUGACCAU